ACGAACGCUGGCGGCGUGCUUAACCCCUGCCAGUCGCACGGAAAGGCCCUGCUUUUGUGGGGUGCUCGAGUGGCGAACGGGUGAGUAACACGUGAGUAACCUGCCCUUGACUUUGGGAUAACUUCAGGAAACUGGGGCUAAUACCGGAUAGGAGCUCCUGCUGCAUGGUGGGGGUUGGAAAGUUUCGGCGGUUGGGGAUGGACUCGCGGCUUAUCAGCUUGUUGGUGGGGUAGUGGCUUACCAAGGCUUUGACGGGUAGCCGGCCUGAGAGGGUGACCGGCCACAUUGGGACUGAGAUACGGCCCAGACUCCUACGGGAGGCAGCAGUGGGGAAUAUUGCAAAAUGGGCGGAAGCCUGAUGCAGCAACGCCGCAUGCGGGAUGACGGCCUUCGGGUUGUAAACCGCUUUCGCCUGUGACGAAGCGUGAGUGACGGUAAUGGGUAAAGAAGCACCGGCUAACUACGUG
This 467-nucleotide ribosomal RNA is filed under the name uncultured bacterium. RNAcentral's name for it is "partial 16S ribosomal RNA". It matches the Rfam family "Bacterial small subunit ribosomal RNA", at positions 29 to 507 of the family's 1533-position model. The record is from RNAcentral.